CUCUGCUCAGUCAUAUGUGGGUGGCGGCGUUAUUUUUAAACUUACAAGAAUGACUUUGUCUCUAACCCAAUAAAAGCUCGCUGCAAAUGUGUAACCUCACAGCAAUUUACUAAAAAAAAAAUUGCCAUACCUUUCCCCACAUAGACAAUUAAUGUGCCGGAAAAUCAAAUGCACGUGUGAUGCCACUAUGGAAGAUACACCUGGAGGAGGCCAGGAUUUCAUGCAUCGUCCCAGGCAACUGUUGCCAAGGAGACAGGAAUGUUGUGCAGGGAGGCAGGUAGCAGCUAACCUGUAGGGAGGCAGGGCAGUUAGGCAGGAGAAGAAGAGAGAUGAGGUAUCCAACGGGAAGAGAAAUAAGUGUUGCUAAGAUCCUAUGGAGAGUAUUCACUGAGAAGAAGCUGUGAUCAGAUGUUGGAAUCUGACGUUGGUCCAACUAGGUAGUGUUAGAUCCGGGAAUUAGGGAUGGGGGGGGUGACUUUAGACUGCAAUGUGUCUUCUUCUAUUACUAUUAUUAUACUUCACCUUUUCCCUUGACAGGGACUCAAGGUGGCCUAUAGAUAAAAAUAACAACAGCUGAAAUCACAGGGAAAUAACAAUUAAAAAACCAUUAAACAUUGAGUGGAUUAAAACUACACACACACACACAUCUAGUAAAGGUAAAGGGACCGCUGACCAUUAGGUCCAGUCGUGGCCGACUCUGGGGUUGCGGCGCUCAUCUUGCUUUAUUGGCCAAGGGAGCCGGCGUACAGCUUCCGGGUCAUGUGGCCAGCAUGACUAAGCCACUUCUGGCGAACCAGAGCAGUGCACGGAAACGGCGUUUACCUUCCCGCCAGAGCGGUACCUAUUUAUCUACUUGCACUUUGCUGUGCUUUCGAACUGCUAGGCUGGCAGGAGCUGGGACAGAGGAACAGGAGCUCACCCCGUUGCGGGGAUUUGAACCGCCGACCUUCUGAUUGGCAAGUCCUAGGCUCUGUGGUUUAACCCACAGCACCACCGCAAAACUAUACAAAUACAAUAAAAACAGUCCAGCGCACAGUGAAGCACACGACUAGAUUUCUGUUCUCCUUCCUGCUCUCUUCCCCACCACUCUGUUUUUUGUUUCUGUGUCCGUGUUACGUACGUCAGAGCAACAGGCAGCAAAGAACGGUGUGCCAACCCCGAUUAGAAGCAAAGGAAAUGCUCUCGAACACGUGCCGCUUCACAUUUUAAUCUCACUUGAACCUUAGCACCUUCGUGACUACAGGAAUAAAAUAAGAGCUUGCUUCUUCUGCCCUGAUACUAAAUGCAUCGACCUGCAAAUAGAAGAAGAAUGAGGAGUAUAUUUUCAAAGUGAAGGUAAUAGCCAUGCAGACAUGCCAAGCUAUUCAGCCAAAACCUCAAACUUGUGACACUUGUGGCACUAAGCGUACACCUUGCUGAUCCUCUCCUACAGGUGAACAGAACAUGGAUUUCAUAUGGAGGGUUUGAACAGCUUGCAGUUCACCUUCAUUCCCUUGUGUGCAUUUUCUAGUAUUUAGUCUUUGUGCCUUUAAGCUUAACGAUCGUAAGUGUUGGGUGAAAUAUACAAAACAAUUCACAUUUCACGACGUCUGUUUUGACAUUAGUCUUCUUAAGUGUAUUUUAUACUUCAGCAAAGUAGCUGUAAACAUCAUGAAUGCUGAGGGUGGAGGGGGAUGCCAAGGAUCAUUUGACAGCACAUUUGGGAAGGAGGACGAGAUAAAAUAAUAAUAAUAAUAAUUUGGAUGGAUGUGAACUGUAGGGAAGAUACGGAGAAAAAGAGGGGAAAGUAUUGCUUAUAUACAUCUGCCAAGUCCACGCACUGAAUAUAUAGCACUUUCUGAUUGGUCAAAGCACUUCAGUUUAGUAAAUUUGAGGUGGUUUUUUAAUUAUUAUUUUUAAAAGGCUUGUUGUUUCAUUUUUUCCUCAAAAUGAGUGGGAUUAGGAGUAACUUGAAUCCAUUGGUUUGAGUCGUACCCUCCGGAGUAGGGGUAAAACAAGCUUGCUCCCUCUUCCAUGUGACAGCCCUUCAGCUAUUUGAAGGUGGCUAUCAUAUCUCCUCAUUUGCAGGCUAAACAUAACCAACUCCUUCAACCAUUCCUCAUAAGGCUUGGUUUCCAGACCCUUGAUCGUCUUGGUCACCCUCCUCUGCACACAUUCCAGGCUGUCAAAAUCCUUCUUAAACUCUGGUGCCCAGAACUGGACACGGGAUUCCAAGUGUGGUCUGAUCAAGGCAAAAUAGAGUUGUACUAUUACUCCCCUUGGUCUGGACACUAGACUUCUGCUGAUGCAGCUUAGUAUAGCAUUGCAUUUUUGGCCUAGAUCUGUUUCAUCAUCUGCCAAUGUGGAAAUAUGUGUAUUAUGGGACUUCUUUAUGUAGCACGCAACAGCUGUUUAUAUCUCAGCAAUUAACAUAUUUACUAAUCCUUAUUUACCUUCCUUGCAUGUUCUCUUUCAAAGUUAACGUGUUUCGAGAGGGGUAGCCCUAUUUGCAAAAACUGCAAAGAACAUUGAGACACCUUAAAGACAAGGGUUAAUGAAGUUCAUCACAAAGCCAUCUAUGCCUGCAAACCCAACCAUGCCUACUCAGAAG
RNAcentral lists this long non-coding RNA (2590 nucleotides) under Podarcis lilfordi (Lilford's wall lizard). Lineage: Eukaryota; Metazoa; Chordata; Lepidosauria; Squamata; Lacertidae. The record is from RNAcentral.